This 856-nucleotide ribosomal RNA is filed under the name Curtobacterium sp. Its description in RNAcentral is "bacterial SSU rRNA". It matches the Rfam family "Bacterial small subunit ribosomal RNA", at positions 56 to 922 of the family's 1533-position model. Lineage: Bacteria; Bacillati; Actinomycetota; Actinomycetes; Micrococcales; Microbacteriaceae. The record is from RNAcentral.
UGCAGUCGACGAUGAUCAGGAGCUUGCUCCUGUGAUUAGUGGCGAACGGGUGAGUAACACGUGAGUAACCUGCCCCUGACUCUGGGAUAAGCGUUGGAAACGACGUCUAAUACUGGAUAUGACUUCCGGCCGCAUGGUCUGGUUGUGGAAAGAUUUUUUGGUUGGGGAUGGACUCGCGGCCUAUCAGCUUGUUGGUGAGGUAAUGGCUCACCAAGGCGACGACGGGUAGCCGGCCUGAGAGGGUGACCGGCCACACUGGGACUGAGACACGGCCCAGACUCCUACGGGAGGCAGCAGUGGGGAAUAUUGCACAAUGGGCGAAAGCCUGAUGCAGCAACGCCGCGUGAGGGAUGACGGCCUUCGGGUUGUAAACCUCUUUUAGUAGGGAAGAAGCGAAAGUGACGGUACCUGCAGAAAAAGCACCGGCUAACUACGUGCCAGCAGCCGCGGUAAUACGUAGGGUGCAAGCGUUGUCCGGAAUUAUUGGGCGUAAAGAGCUCGUAGGCGGUUUGUCGCGUCUGCUGUGAAAUCCCGAGGCUCAACCUCGGGCUUGCAGUGGGUACGGGCAGACUAGAGUGCGGUAGGGGAGAUUGGAAUUCCUGGUGUAGCGGUGGAAUGCGCAGAUAUCAGGAGGAACACCGAUGGCGAAGGCAGAUCUCUGGGCCGUAACUGACGCUGAGGAGCGAAAGCAUGGGGAGCGAACAGGAUUAGAUACCCUGGUAGUCCAUGCCGUAAACGUUGGGCGCUAGAUGUAGGGACCUUUCCACGGUUUCUGUGUCGUAGCUAACGCAUUAAGCGCCCCGCCUGGGGAGUACGGGCCGCAAGGCUAAAACUCAAAAGGAAUUGACGGGGGGCC